GAGAUCCAUUCGAGGGGGAGGGAGAACGCGAACGAGUUAGAGCAGUGUGGAGCGAAGCACGGAGGGGUUUGGGGGGAAAGCGCACGCUCUAGGCGCUAUGACGUAACUCGAGUCAUCCUGGAUGUACGUGCUACGGGUGGAGGGGAGACGGCGGGGAAACAACGGUGGCGCUGAGAAGAAGUGGGGAGCGCACCAUGGAGGGGUGAGAGUGCAAGGGCGCGGUAGUGGGAGCAGUAAACGGAAGGAGGGGAGGAUGGCGGUCAUUAGUGCUACUGGGACACGGAAGCGAAUCCUCGCUACCCUCCCCGCCUCUCCGUGCGGCCCGUUUCGCGACCCGGCACCAGUAACCACCCACUCUUUUCUAUUUUCCUCUCGGUCGCUCUGUCGGUUCUCUCACGCUCCCUGUAUGUAUUUUCCACGCUCGUUCUUCUCUUUCUUCCCUCUCGUGUCUCUCUCCGCUUCGUCUUCCUCCGCGCUCCGUUCCGCUCUUCCUCGCCUCUCCCUCUUUGCCGUGCGACGCCUCGCGCGUCCGUGUAUUAUCUAUAUAACGCGAGCGGCCCGGGGGUGCGCCUGCACUCUGCAGCUGCAUACAACCCCCUUUUGCAGAUCUCUGUGCCAACUACGAGAGAGUACAUCUACGAGCACGAACACGAUUAGGCCGCGCUCGCGACCUCGUCCUUGCCUGCCAGCCAAGAUCGGGGCCGUUACGUUGCCUCGUGUCCGUCUGCUCGUUUCUCCUAGUUCGCUUGCUCGCUCGCUCGCUCGUUCGCCGCGCGCGGUUUCUUUGAAACGGUACGCUUCCGCGGCAUGGAAUGCGUUGACCCUUUCGUGGUCCACGGCUUUGUGGCCGGGCUCGCUUCGUCGACGAUUCCGGCGGGUCACGCUCCACGACCAACCGCUUAACGGACGUGCGGCCUGUUGUAAGCCGAUGAUGCAUAAUGUAUCGUGAGUCAAUGAAUUAGGCAAAUUAUUUCGUAUAUGAGAUUUUUGGAAAUUCUGUUUUGUGGGUCGAAAUCGUUUUUAUAUUUUAAUAGAUUCAAUCAAUUAGAAGAAGUCAUUUAACGCUUUCAUACAUAGUUUCGAAUUUUCUUUCAAUUAAAUAAGUCGACGGGAUCCAAGAAUCCCAUUAAUGGAUGUUGUAGUGAUUUUUAGAUUACAUCGACUUACUUAAUUGUAUCAUGGAUCAUUUAGAAGCCAUAAUACCAAAGCUCCAUCUAUUAAAUCGAAAUAGAAAAAUUAGCGGCGGCCGAUUGAUACUGUGGCCGAUAAUCGUUCGGUAGCGAGAUUUCCAUAAGCAGAUGCAAAGCAGUCGCGGAUACUUCCGUGGGAGGCAAAGAUCGAUAGGAAGCCGGUCGUCGUGGGAUUUAAAGGCCCGUAAUUGAUUUCCUGCCGGUGGUCGCUGGAAUUCCAGGCUGCACGCGCCCUUUACCCUUUCAACGGUGCUCAGGGUUCAGCCUACGCGUGCCUGGGCGUGGCGAGGAAUCCUUGCGGCUGAAAUCCCGCGGAAGAUGCCUGUCGAAGGUCAAACGACGUCCGUCCGCUCGUCUAUUCUCACUGUGAAAGAUAAUCGCAUUUCAAAGUGCGCCAAUGGCAGCCGAAUGAACACCCAGCAAUAUUGAUCAGCUGAACUGGUGUACUGAACUUUGACAUUUGAUAGAGCCCGGCGAAAGCGGUUGCAUGUACUCCGCUAGAGCGUUGGCAGUUUCGUUUUGUACGGAGAUUUAGAUCGUAGUGAUGGAGACGCAAGGGUUGUUCUUUAACCAUGCGAAGGUCGAGGCUGAUCCCACUGAUACAUACGAAAUAUUGUAAUAAAUAUUUUUGAAUGACCUCGUAAAGCUUGCUGAUGAAGAGCAGCUGGUGUAUGAUACAUCUUUAUGUGCUUAUUUCUCAAGGCUAGGCAUAAUACAAGUACUAUACUUCUGAGUUAUGAAUAUAGCGGAUCUUCUGUUAAUUUUGUUAUUAAAUCGAAGUUCGUAUUAAAAGUAUCAACAAUAAUUUUCUUUGUUUCGGUAGAGUUUUGUGACAAAAUUUUCUAAGGCAACCGCAGUCUGAGUUAACUCCUUUGUUUACGUUCUUCGUGUCUAUGGUAGAUUUACUGAUUCCAAAGUCUCGGAUUGUAGCGUAUAGUUCCACCGUUUAGAAGCCAUACUAAUUAAGAUUAUACAUACAAUGAAUAGUAGAGGAACGUGAUGACAUUACCUUACAAGUACUUUUUAAUACUUUAUAUGCAUGUUUCUAAUGUAUUUUCCAAAUGUGUCAAUAUGUACUCUACUUUUGAUAUUUUACAGAUUUUUGCAUUCGUGUACAUCCUUGUACAAUUUUAUAUAUUUACACUUGUCAUAUAUAAACAUCCACAAUAUAACCGUAUCCCACCAAACUGUCGCCAGCUUAAACUGCAAACUCUAAGCUCUGCCAAUAACUUCGAACAUGGUUCGAUGGUAAACAGUGUUCUCAGUGAGAUACUGUACCACGGAAGACGGCCAAGUUCCGGAAUCAUAAAACGUAAUUGGUAAUAAAGGCGGAAGCAGUUAACAACGAUGGAUUCUCGGUUGAUCGAAGACAGAGAUUUUGGCUGUUUUUGGUGAUAAAGUUUCCGGAUGGAAUAACCGUUAAGCCGAGUCGAACUAGGGAGAAACGUGGAUGGUUUUGGGUCAAGGCUGCGAUACUGUCACCCUCGAACGCCUUUGUCCACCCUUCUCAAGGUGAGAAUUUACGAAUUUACAAAAACAUUCAACUCUUCUGGUAAAGUAUACAAUUUGAGAUUUUCUAAGCUGUAAGUCAAACAUUCGUACUUAGGAAGAAAUAAUUCUUAAUACAAUAUUUCUAGGGCAUCGUAUUACCUUUCAUUUAUAUAUUCAUAGUAAUUAGAAUUUCCUUCAUAGGAAAAUGUUAUUGUUCUACCUAACACAGACUAAGAUACGCUUUAUAUUCUUCCUUAUUAUGUAACAUUUGAAAUGGAACAAAGCUUAAAUCGAUUGCCAAAAUCAUUUUAAACUGAUUCUCAUUGGGAAGCAUUGAUGCAUUGAAUUUCCAAAAUUUAUCGAGAUUUUCGAAGAGGAGUUCUGAAAAUAUCGCACGGUUUACGAUAGUUCGCGUAGUAUUUGUUACAAGCAACGCAUGUCGCAGCGGCGUACGACACUUGCGUGACAUCGGUGUGCAUGUUCACGAAUACGCGAAGAGAGCGUCGCCGAUGGAACGUGCAAUUUAAUUGAAACACGCUCUGUUCAUAUGCAUACGAUUAACGUUGGUCGGCGUGCGUGCCUCUCGCGAGCUAUUCGCGUGAAUAACGGAACGACUAGAAACGGUGCGGUUAACGUGCGUGAAAAUUCACGGUGUUCCUUGUACGCUGUUGAUUGUUGAUUGUAUGCUAAACAGCCCGUUGCUUGUGAUUUGCUAGACUGUUGGUUACCGCGAUGGAAAAAGCUUGUCGGUUUAGAAUAUCAUAUGUGUUACGUUUUAACGCGAGUGUGAAGUAAUUUAAGCGGGAAUUUCUUGAACCAUUCUUUUGUUGAACUUUUGUCUCGUGUGAUAAAUAGCAGUUGCAUUCACGAUCAAGUUCAAUUUUUAGCAUAAUUUCAGAGUGAAAUUGAAGUAUGGAUUGUUUGGUAGAAUAUAGCGUAGUAUGUAUACAUAGAACUAACAUUCCACUGAAUAAUGUAUGAUACUGUUUAUUUUGCUGACCUUUCAAUAUCAGGUAUCUUCACCUUUAACUUUUAACUUUUCACAUCUAAACUAUGCAUUUUUUAAAGUAGUUUUAAGGUAUUCAAUUGCCCGUUAUUAGAAUAUAAAUUAUAAUGGAUCUAUGUUAUUAUUCGACGAAUGAAUGCAUGAAAGUUUAAUAAUUUUCACCUAUUUCUCAUUGAUACAUGAAAUACUGGUUUGUAUAAUAACGUAAUACUGUUUCUAUCUACUACUUCCGGACACUACUAUCCAAUCCUAUCUUGUUGCAUCUACUAUGCAACUAGGAGCAGUAUUUAUCUAAAUUCCAUAUUUAAUUAUUUGGCAGAUAUGCAGAAUAAUUCUCCCUCAAAUAUACAGCAGAAUUUAAUGAUCCUUAAUAAUGAAACGCGACGCUAUAAACUAUCCGAAUAAAUUGACAGUAAUAAAAUGAAAGAUUAUUAAAUGUGAGUAAUACGUUUCAUAUUUUAAAUUGUCUUAUUUGUUAUUUUAAUCUAGACAAUUAUAGUAUUUAGUCACUGAAAAGCUGAUUCAAAGAAAUGUAUAUAUUAGAAGAGACGCAAGAUAAGUGGUUAAAGACGAUCAUAUGCAGCCACUUUUGUACACUAUGUGAUACGUGAUGACCUUCAAUUAUUCUGCAAUUAAUGGACUGAUCGAAAUUCCUUUUACAUUUGGAGGAGCUUUUUUUUAUCAAUAUUCUCUCUUUUUUUCUUGCAUCUUCUCCAAUUCUUUCAUCUUGCAAUAAAUCCAUUAUAUACACGACUGCUUUAUUGAAACAAAAUUAAAAUGAAGUAUGCAAAUAUAUAUGUUCUAUGUGAUUAAAAUUAUUAUAAAGAACGCUACUAUAAAGAACGCUAUACGCUUAGAAAAUUGAAAUUAAAAUUAUUACAAAAGAGAAUACCAUUAGACUAUGAUGCUUCGUUUAUUAAUUUACUAAAUAUUUAAAUCCCCAAAUGGAGGCUAAUAAUGAAAAAUGAGUCAAAUUCUGAUGAACUAACAUGUAGCUCAACAUUUUUUUCAAACAGGAAAAUUACUUCAAAGGAGAAACAAAUAAUUUGCACUAUCGAUGUUUCGCGAACUAGUAAGAUGUCCGUUGAAUAUUAAUUGCCUGCGAAUAAACUUCUUAUCACGGUCGUCGUGUAUUCAAUACCUGACCGCGUGUAAAUCGUUCGCUCAGACGGGUCCAGGUUAAUCUCGAAAUUUCCUCUCAGCGAACUUGAUCGAUCAACGGUACGGAACACGUGUACUGGGAAUUUCGGCCAUGCAAUUAUUCUGGGGAAAAGUGCGACCUUGCGAACAGCACCGUUCGCGAUAAUGCAUAGUCGCUUUUCGGUUGACCCAUAUCCAGUUUCCAUAGGUUUCGUUGAAAAGGGAGUUUCUAUUACGUUAAAUUUACUCAGCGGAUCACGAGGAAAAAGAAAAAAUCGGCCUUGUACUGUUGGCGAAGGAGCGUGGCAUUUUCAACGAAGUGUCGUAGUAUCAGGUUACUGGUAAUUUAGAGAAGUUUCAAACUGGAAACUUUGCAGUGUAUUGAGCAAUAAAUUUUAAUAAAUUUGAAGGAAAUUUAGUUUAGUAAAACUUAUUGUUAGUGAGCUUUCUUUACUGUCUUUUUUGUCUUUCUUUCUUUACUGUUAAUUCUGUUGCGUUUCUCGAAUUGUUGUGUUUCAAUCUUAAUCUCGUGUUAACAAAUGAAAUGACAUUUUUAUAUCGAUAAGAAUUUCAUUUUCAAACUUAAGUGCAUUUAAUAUAUCUGUUGUACUUGUGCAUUUAGUAUGUUAAUAACAAUUUUAUUUCUAAACUUAAGAAAUUUUUUACUAAUAGGAAAAUACAGUUGAGCCGAGAAAAUGAAGAACGCAACAAGGUUAAAUUAACAUAAUGAUAAAAAAUUCUUCUAUUGAAAAUAGAAAUAAAUAUUAAGAAAGUGAAUCUUUAUAUAUUUGGGUAUAAGAUUGUUUGUAUUGUUCAUAAAUAAGAAUGUUUACAUUUAUAGUAAUGUGUUUCGUUGACAUAAAGAAUAGAUGAGGGUUAAGUAAGGUUCAUGAUAUUGAAACAAAAUAUUAACUGUAGUUGGAGAUACGAGCUUUACAUAAGAGAGACAUACAAUGGCUUUUGUUCCAUUAAGAUAGCAUAUAGUCGCAUAAAUUCUGAGAAUUAGAGUGAGAAAUUGGGUUUCAUUCUCGUUACGUACCAAUGCUACCUCGAAUGAUCGUAAUCCCUUUUGAAAGCUUGUGUGCAUGUACAUCGAAGUAUCAAAGUUAGUUAUAUAGGUUCGUAGAACUAGGAAGGUGUAAUGAGAAACUGUAGAUUAUAAUAAAACCAUCUUCUGUUGAAUUAAUAUUUGUUUUUAUUAUAUUGACAUGUAGUUAAUUGCUCCAGCAUUAUCUGAAUUUGUUGCAAUUAAACAUCCCCGUAGCAAGCAAGGAAAUUUGAAAAUUCUUGUGGUUGCGGUAAGUCAAAGAGACAUCGACGCAUUGUCUGUCCUUUCUUGAAAUAUCUUUACACAUUAAAAUAACACAUUAAUACUAAGCAGUAUAUUUUUUAAUAUCUCUUAACUUAAAAGAAGUAAUAUAUUCUUUCAAGGUUCUCAAUAAUAUAUUUCAAAAAAAUUAGACACAAGAAAAUGUAAAAUCCCAUGCACGUGUGACAUGCUCCACAUAAAUUCCAAAGCUAUUUCUCCUGUCCAAACAGUCUCCAUCGUUCCGAUCAUCCCAUUGCUCUCCGCCUUUUCAACCCUCCAAACCAAACACUAUUUCCAUAUUAUGCCACCUCCUUUCCUCUGGUUCACAGUCGUUCACUUCUCCCCUUCGACGUUUCACGCUUGUUUCAUUACCCAGUUGAAGCCAACUCAUCUAAACUGAAAACCCAGAGCCCGAGAUCAAAUAAUCGAAAGCUCCUUAUCUCCUUUACCAAACGGUUCACCGUGACCAGGCGAAAUUGGCGUGCACACAACCACGCGUUCAGCAUCCUGGCACACGAUCCCAGCAGACAGAUAUAAGCUGCCUCUCGAACCGCAUGCUUCCGGAGCCAGCACCCAUCCCUUACUGCUCGAUUUCCUGACCCCUUGUUUCCCUCUGCAGUUUAGGAUCCAUCGGGACUCCUCUACGGGGCCACGAUAAGCGCCCAGAGUUUCGAAACUCAUCCCGAUCACGACGAAGAGUGCACAUUCGAAAGCAAUCGUAUUGGCGUUCGUCGAUGUGCCUCCUCCUCCCUCCGGACGAUUAUGCGGGUCCGGCCACUAGAUGGAAAAUAAACGUACUCGACAAGUUCCUGCUAACUUUCAACUCUCCUCGCUGUUUCUUUCCGAUUCUGCAUUGUAUUAUUUUUUUCUUGAACAUUCUUCCCUUUGAGUUGCAUCGUAGUUUGAAGGAAAUAGAUUUAGCAGUUUGUCAUUCGGAUCCGUUAUAUUUUGAAUUUUGUAAAUUACGUUAAUUCGUAGUUGAUAUUGUCGGUUUAUAGAUGAUCGUUACACUGUGGAUUAUUAUAAUUUUAUAGUGGCGGAUAGAAAAUAAUUAAAAAUCGACACGCGUUUUAUCAUUUUCAUAACAAUUGUGUAUUCUGUUCGAUAUAUUACAUUUAUUCGUUGCUUUUGCUUAAAAUAAAUCCACUUUGUAAAAUUAUCGUGUCUUCUCGUACUUCUCAUUUUACGAACUUUCUUUUGUCUGCCACUGUUCGUGAAAUGUGUAAGAUGCAGAAACGUUCUUGAGUUUGAACAUCGUUAUAGUAGACACGUAUUCGAAGAAACUAGUGUUUCGAUGAACGAAACACGACAAAAAGUUUGAAGACUGCAGCGCAUAUAUUCACAAAAAUCUAUUUCAGAUUUAAUUACAUUGACGUAUUGAGCUCGUUAGAACGUCAAUUUAUCGGAAUACAUAAUCGAUGUAACCUUAGAAGUUAGAGUUACCAAGGUUCAACAGUAUUGUCUAUAAGAAAUUGAAAAUGUGAUUGAUCGGUUAAUUCGUCUUCGUCUAUUAAAAUUUGAUAAAUUCGCUUUGGCCAACAAUCGAUAAUAAUUUCCUAUUCGUUCGCGAUUUACGUUCCCUUUUUGUAUACGCAUGAUAAUCGAGGUCAAAGCGUGUGUCAGGUCCACGUUUUGAGGUAUCCAGGAACAGUGCAGCGUAUCCAGCUGGGAUUUCCAGGACGUCGACGAGCUGAAAUGCAGAUCCGUCCGUUGUUGCAAAAUAAUUCGCUUUUCCGUGUCGGUGAAAUUGAAGCUUGUUUGGAGCCAACCGAGUUUACGUUGUUAAGGUGUCAUAUCUUUGAUGAAUAGUUUGUCACGUUUAUCACUAGUGAAUAAAAUCUGAUAUUUGAUAAAAGAGAUAUGGGAAUACUAUUUUUAAAUAGUCGAGAGAUUUUAUAUUGUACAAAUAUUUUCGAAUGUGUGUUAGACUGGAUUAUAAUUGUAUUGUUUGCGGUGGUUUGAAGUAUUUAUAAGGUGCACAGUUAUUCUCUCUUUCUUUAUUUUAAAAUGUAGGUUAAAACAAUUUUUAUAUCUGUUAAUUCUGUGGAAUCAACGUUCCUGUGACAAUUUAUUUUUCAUUUACUUACGAAUGAAUAGAGCUUAAAAUCGGACAAUCAUAACUUCGAUGAAUUGUCACGUUUGUCACGAAUAGAUAGAAUCUAGUUGGUGAUGAAAUUAUUUUAAAAACCAGUCUAUGUUAUACGACAAAGUAUCUCUUUUAUCUUCGAAAGUGGGUUAAUCUUGUGUGACAUGUUCUAAUUUUUUAAAUUACGACCUAGUUCUCUUUUGGAAAGAAACUUCACAGCUUGUUUCCAUAGAAAUUAAAAAAAAAAAAAGAGAGAAAAAGAGCGAGAAAACAGAAAGAUUAAAAAUUACAAAAUAAGAGAAGUCAAUAAGAUCUUCCAAUUUAAAUUCCACGCAAGAUGUCCUUCUUUCAUAUCGGUGAAUUACGAUCACCAAGAACAAAAAAGCUUUUUCAGAUUAUAAAUCGCCAGAAAGAGUCUAUUGGGCAAACACCAUAUCAUCGAGCAUAGCGAGUGGCACAUGAUCGUAUGUUGGUCGUUGUACACGCGUACAUACUAACGAGAUAUUUCAUAACGGCAGAUUAGCGGGUUCCAUAGUCCCCGUGGCGGCAAUUAAUCCCGAGGCUACGAGCGGGUGCAGCCGCGAGCACGAACAAUUUACUGUGCCCCCGAAAUUAAUUUCACUCGUUCGACAUCGACGCUUCGUAGAAAUCGCUUUGUGGCCUUUUUCCCUUCUCCGAAUUGGAGAUUGAAAACCACAUUUUUUGCUUUUGCCAUUUGAAUUCGGAUCCACCUUCCGUUCAAUGGUACACGAUAUCGGCGACGCGUGCUUCUUUUAGUAGACAGGAAAUAAACGUGAACGUAUAAAUUUCGUUCGUCUGAAAUUCUGGUCAAACAGUUUUUCGUACGCGUGAAUGAAACUCGAAAUGAAGUUUCAAUUUCACUAAAGCGAUUUCCAUUCUCUUUGGUUUUGGCUCCUGUUCGACACUGAUGGUUUUUGUCGAACGUCGGUUCUAAAAUUUGUGUCAGUUCUAAUAUAAUAGCAAAGUAUUACGUCGUUCUGGUAAUUUAUUUCGUGGCUCAUAUGUAUUUGUUACGUAUAUUAUUUAACAUCAUAUUAUAUAUCAUCAUAAAAUUUAGAAUGAAAAUAUAAUGUUAAAUAGCUGUCUAACAAAUACAUAGGAACCAUGUAAAAGCCAAAUAAUAUCAACUUUAUCAAUUGUAAUUAUUCGGUUUAUGAAAGAUUAAAUAAAAGUCAUAUCUAUAUUAGUAUAAUUAAAAUUAAGAACUUUACCAGAAGUGGAUCAGUUUGACUUCUGAGUGGUUCGUAGUGAAACUUCGUAGUAAAAUUGAAAAAUAUUAGUAUGGUAAUAUCGUUAAAAGAUAACAGAGAAAAUACGAUAAAAGUCACAAGGAUAAAAAUGUUUUAACGACAAAAAUUCAUGAAAAUAAAAAAUCAGGCUCAGUCAAAACGAUAUUUCAUUUUCACAUGCUUUUUCGCUCAAUUUUAAAUUAAUCUCACAUCAAACAGGAUUAAUUCGCAACAACAUUUUAUUCAGACUCCUGCUGGAAUUCUAUCGUCUAUUCUUAUACACCUCAGCUAGAAUCGACUCGUUAUUUUAAUCCGUAAAUGACGUCAAAACCGUCGACCAUUGUUCGAUACUCAUUCGGAGCGAACGGCAAUUUUAUUCAAAUUGGUGCAAAUCGUUCCCGUGGAAACAUGACACACGUCAGAUCAUAAAAUGUCGCUGUGUUCGCGACCCCUUCGACUUCAACCCUUUUCCCUCCUGUCACAUUUAAUUAUCCCGGCCAUUUACGUAACCCAAUUCCCCAGUAAAUUAUUGCAGGGCCACCUGUUAAAUCACGUAUACGGGAAUGCUUAAUUGUGCCUUCACCGCGGUGAAUAAAUCAGGCGAUUAAAAGAACGAGAAAACGAGCUGGAGAACAGGGAAUCAUGAGUAACUCAUCCUCUGCGAAGUCCUGGAAUUUAUUUGGAUCGCAAAAUACGUUCUAUAUUUUGUUAUUAGAUUAUAACAUCAGAGAAAAAGUUUCGUGAAAAUUCUUUAAUUUCUUCAAUCUUUAGAUCUUCUUCGAAAUGAUUUUUAUUGCAAAGUGAGGUAUCGAAUAUAUGUAGACGUAUAGAUUACGUCAUGUCGUUUCCUAUAAGUUGCAAUUACGGUUUUAAUAGUGGUUUUACUUUUUCUUUAUUUAAUAUACUGAUAUAUUAGACUAAAACUUGAUCAAAACUAUUAUUAUACAGAAUAAUAUAAUUUUCUAUUGCCUGUAACUUGGUUAUAUAAACUGAAUGUAAUAUAGGAACAAAUGCAGUAAUAUACAGUAAUGUAAUAGAUUAGAUAAAUAUCAUUGGAUCGAGGCUAUUAUCAUACAAAAUAAUAUAACUUUCUGCCACUUGAUUAAACAGAAUACAUACGAACUGAAUUGUAGAAGGUACGUGAAACAAAUAUGAUCCUUAACGAGAUACCUUCAUUUAUGGAGCUUCUUUUCAAAACGUAUACGCGUCUAACAACAGUAUUCUUUGCUGAGUACGCUGAUCAGAGAGCAGCCUCUGUUCUUUAGGGUAGCAGAGAUUGUUUCGUACGGAAUGUUCUCUUUGUUCAGGAAAAGUGGAGCGUCGUGUUCUAUGGAUCAGCGAAGAUUCGUGAUUUUGCUACGGGCAUGUUGUUCAACUUUGUGGUUUCUCCAGCGUCAUCAUUUCUGAAAUUCGGGACAUCUCGUUCCAUGAGUCUUUCAGUUCUUCAACGUACACCUUCCAUAAAUCAUCCUUGUUGUGGAAUUCGUUGAGAAAAAUAGAACGCUUUGUUCGUUUUUUAGUAUUUUUCAAAUUCUUUAACACUGAAACUACCUAAAUCUGGGAAAUCCUUAGGAAUUUAUUAAAACCUUCGAUAUUAUUGUUUGGUUUAUAACCUUGAGCUAAGAAGCAUUCGUAAAUUCUGAUAAAUAAUAGAAUUUUUCCUUUUUCCUUCUUUCUGCUCUACACCUGUUUCUUAAUUAUUGACUUAUUUAUGUAUUCAUGCAUAUGUAUAUAUUUAUUAUAUUUUUGCAAAUAUUUUGGCAUUCGUGUUGCUACUUUUUACAUUAAAUUUGUUUUUCUUUGAUUCCGCUCUUUAUAAAUGAUUGUUCAAGUCAUGAAGUUACACGAUGAUCUCAUGUAACCCAGUUUAGUUCUCUUUUCAAUUUUGUUUAAAUUACAUCUAAUUCGUGAAAUAAUUUUUUUCAGUCUCUUGACAUGAAAUUUUCAGCUCGUCGAUAAUUUAUUGUUAAUAUACUAUUAUUUAUUAUUGGAGAUUUAUAUCUGCAGUCACGUAGGUUUCAUUUAUACGUGGUAUACAGAUUACACGAAUUUAUAUUUAAACAUGAGCAGAGACAGAUUACCCUAUAUUUCAAACAAGCUAUAAUUGGCAACCGGGAAACCAAAAUUCGUCGAGCCUCCUUCGGCCAGAUUUAAUCCAGGAAUUGCCGUUUCCGUAGCCACAUCAAACGGACUCGUUCCCGCGUAGCAAACCCAUUUAAUUAAUGAAUUAAUUAUCGCGAACCGGUGUAAUAACGACCAUUAGUCCGUGACUCAAAGCUUCUCAAUUAUUUACGUCAUUUUCAUAGAACGAUUGUUAAGACGUCGAGCAUACACUUAAUAUUUCAUUACAAAAAAUCCCCAGCUGAAGUUCAACGUGACUGAGACAUGAUAUUCCUAUUAUGAAUAUGAAAUAUGUAUAUUUUAUGAAUAUCGUUAAAAUUCUUCAUUAUUAAUUUAAGGAAAAGAACUAAGUUUUAAUUUUAAAUCUGAAUCGAUACCACAGAUAAAAAUUCGCCUAAUCCGCCAUCUGCAUACUGGGUCGUUUUCAAACAGUAAUUUUAAGUAAUUUCUUAUUCUUCCCUAAUUUUUGGUUGAAUUUUGCUUCGCUUAAAAAGACCGAGGUAGCAUGUUACAAUAAAAAUUAACGGAUGAUAUUCUAGAAACUUGGGAGAGUAUUCGAGAAUUUUGGGGGAUUUUAAACCCCAGAAGUCUAAGAAAGAAUUGCAUAGACUUAAACGACCAAGUAUGCGGGAAACGCCAUUAAAAAUAAGUUUACGGUUAGAAGGUGAAAUUAAAAAUUAUAGUAUAUGGUUUAUACUAUAUUAUUCUAUUAGUUAAAUUGUCUACUUAUCGUUCUUCUAUUAAUAAAUGCGUGUUUUAGUUGGCAUAUAAUUGGCACGAUCGCUGCUAUUUCAAAUAUUAAUAUACGCAACGAAUGAUAAAAUUGCAAUACAUUGAAAGUAUUAAAAUUUGUACAUUAUUGCAGAAUAUUAUUAUAGAAAUAUUCCAGUUUCUCAUAAUUCGAUUCUCGCUACUCUUUCUCAAAAAUUUAAUCAGAAUUUCAUUAUCUAUUCUAUGACUAAUUUCAAAUAAUAUCCACCGUUGCUGUAUUGUAUCUGCAUGCAAUACUUUAACAUCGAAAUCAGGUUACAAAGCUUCAUUAGCCUGUAGAUGCGAUUAAUCGUUUCCACGCUUCUGCAUUCCUUUAUCUCCGGAAUAAAUAAUUUCUCGCACGGCAGAUGAACCGUGCGAUCGGAAAGUAAUAAAAGGGAACUUCCCAGAUGCUAAUUACUUGGAAAUCGUUAGGCGACGAAGGGACCGACGGCGUUGCAUCGCUUAAAGUCCCUCGGAACUUUAUUAUAUUAGGAUGAAUCGGCGAACCGUGAGAUAGUUAAGUAAAGUAGAGUUUAAUGUGCUGAAAGGUUUAAACGGCGGCGAAGUGUGGACGGUGAGCUAGUGCUUCUUUCGACCCGAAUAACGAUUCCAUAGUCCACGUUCUCUAUUAUUAAAUCGUUGGAUAAAGGAAUCCUGUUCUCUGCAAUCGGCCAAGCACGCCGAUGUUCCAACAAAGAGGAUACAAAAUUCAAUAAUAAAACGAAUUCUGUGAAAUUUUCUUAAUCAUUUGUGAUAAAAGAAGCGAACAUACGCACGCAUUUUCACAUAUUUAUUUCUUAGUAACUAUUGCUUCUUUAGAAUUCUGAGAAUGUUUUAACAAUUUUCAUUUCUAAAGGAUUAACCUUGCACGUUAGAUAGAAUAUUACGGCAAGCACAUAAACGAUACAUCGAGUAAAAUACUUACUGUUCCACUGAUAUUUGCGAUAAUUGCACGUAAGUGGCUAUAGUGAAUGAAAUAAAUAGAUAUAAGCUAAAUUAAAUUGUAACAGAAUCGUACAUUAAAAUAAAAUUUCAAGUCGUGGAUAGCAGGGUCAAAAUAAUCCUCCUUGUUCACUUAUUUCGCUCUUUUGCUGGUAACAAUCGCAGUAACUCCGCGAGUGAAAACAGAAUAAAUUCCAGAAACUUCAUGUAUCGAAUAAUUUCCCAAUUCACAAUCCUAUCUUACGGGCCCCUGUUCCACGAGAUUCCUCAAUUAUUCAUGACAAAAGAUCCCAACAACAGUCAGCCUGCAACCUAAAUAAUGCAUUAACAAAGAGGCCGAAGAAAAGAUGGAGCAACAAUCAAUUUUCAAUGAAAAUCACAGCGCUCCUUAUCCGUCUGAAACAAGUGUAAACCCGGUCCUGGCGACAGGUCGCUUUGUUUAUCGCAAGAGCCGACGCACCAGACCAUUUCAGCUUAUCCACCCCCUCGUUGUCCCAACCCCCCGACCGUUCCGGACGCAGCGUUCGCGAACAAACGAUACUCUUUCUGCCUGGCGGGACACGGCACAUUCCUUUUCUCCCUUCCCGAAAGCUACGAUGGAGACUCGGCGUUUGUACGCGCACACUGUAGCGGACGAUUCACGCAACCGACGUCGGAUUAUACCCCUUUUUCAGUCGAAGAUAGGGAGGGAGAGGGAGGUGGAAACGGGAACAGAGAGCGGGCUGAAUGGUUUAGCGAAGUUUAACGCUUCGCGGUAUCACUAUUUUCUUCGAUUUUUCAUCGUCUUUCUCCAACUCUUUCACGGUAAAUCGGUAAAAUGGUAUUUUUUGAACUUUUCGCUUAGGUCUUGUUUGUUUUUCGUUAUCAUAGCUCAAACUUAAGCGAGUGGCUCGCAAUUUCAAUGGGAGAGUAGUUUUCAAGUUAUUUCGAUAGCCUCGAGGGUUUUCGAAGAUCUUUGAAGAUAUUUGACUUUCUCUUUUGGCAUUGCAGUGCGGAGCUUUGAGUUUGGGACUCAAUGUAUUCAAAACAAUCGUACAUGCAAUUUUUAUAAUGAAUGCUGCAGUACAGUUUCACUAUCGAUGCCUUUAGUGCCGAUUGUAAUCAACCUUAACGAGAACUAUAGAAUUUUCAAAACCUAGAAGCAAAAAUUUCUAUUAUACCAGUAAUAAAAGAUGGGGCCAACGAGUUAUCAAUUUAAAUCGUUUCUUAGGAGUUUUAUUGAGAAUAACAAAUAUUUCUGACGAAUCCAAACGAGAACUAUAUUCUAAAUAAUAUUCCCAAAACCCGGAAACAACUAUUAAAUUUUGUAUAAUUCUAGAAAAUUACACAAUUUUAGAAAAUUAUACGAUUUUUACAGUGAAUAAUUCCAAUUUCACGCGUAAUUAUCAGAGUUUCCAUACAGUGGCCCCAUAAAGCUCCGAAAAUCGAAAUCAUAUUUUCUUCCUUCCCCAUCAACUCGCCAUUUCUUUUACGCGAGAUCGCAUCCCUCUGGAAUCCCUGCCUAAGACCUUCAUUCGUCAAAAGAAAAAGCUUCAGAAAGAGGCCCGUCGAAGGUUGCCGAUGUGAUCGUGAAAAGAACACGCGGACGUGAAUCGACGAGCAGGAUCUUAUCCUUUCGGAUAUUAUUAAUCCAUGCCAGCAGCGGGUUCAACCCUUUCGCAGAAAGGAUUAUCCCGGUAAUGCAGCUUCUUCCGUUAGUCCGUCACGGUUCUUCUCCGCCGUUUCUUUCCAGUUGGAUCUCGCUCGGAGGGAUGAUGAAAACGCCCCGUUGAGUUGCCGCUGCGCGCACCCCCUAACAACGACGACGAGGGAGGGCUGAGAAGGGGAUAUAGGGGUGGCGUUCGCGUGAUACGUAGAAAGCACGCUCGCCUACUACCACGAAUUAGGUCACGAGCCAGCUGCGGGGCACGCGGAGAAAAAUACCAACGGGCUACGAGAAUGACGAGGGAUGGCGGGGGUGGCGUACAUCGAUCGCGAUUGUCCCACGAGCUCGACUUUUGCCAGGUCGCCGGCGAGGGUGGUAGUAAACAAGCGUGGAGACGACCUGCCUUUGUUAAAGAGAAGGACUCGUUACUUCUCGUUCUCCAUUGCCUCUGUUUUUAUUCUUUUCUCGUUUUGUUUCUUUUCGCCUUUAUUAUUUUGAUGUUGUUCCGAUUCGUUUUGUUACAGUCGUUCGUGCUUUCGAAUAGGUGUAAGGAUAUUUUCUUUGAGUUAGGAAAACGAUUGCGGCAGGAGUUUGUAAGGAGGGUUGUUUGUGGUUCGAUUGCUGUGUAGGGUAGUUUUCCAGAAUUGUUAUACGGGGAAUGGAAAAUUAUACGUUUCGGAUUUAUACGUUUUAGAUUUAUACGUUUGAGGUUUUGCUAUUGAGAGUUAGGAAGUUGUGUUAGGCAAGCAAGUUAUUAUUAUUAUUUAUAACAUAUAAUGGAAAGGAAUAUGUACAUAAUUAUUAUUUGAAAUAUUAGUAUUUAAUAGUGUACUGUAACAUAUUCUAUAUUGUACUUCGUGGUAUUGUGUUUUUAAUAUCGCAGGUGGUAUUGCUACUCGUAUUUCUGGCACUCGAUACUAUGUUAAAUUAAUUAAUGCUGUAUUUUCAAUGACCGAAAUGUUGUUACUAUACAUACUAUAGUAUUCUGUAUACCGUUUACUACUGCGCUGGUAUUGUAUUUUUAACGCUGAAAACACUAUUCUAAAUUCCAGUAUUUGCGUUUUACCGCUUUGUUUGAUGAAGUUAUUAGAUUUUUGGUAAAAAGAACAGGCGUGACGAUAGUGCAACGUUUUCCGUGAUACAUUUUCGGUUUUAUCAGUUUUUAACGGAGUCGACGCAGUUUGCCUGCGAGGUGAUAAAUAUAAAAGUAGGAUAAACUCGGGCUUUGUUUCGCCUCGUUUUAUCAUUUUUUAAUCGUGUCGCGAUAUCUUUCACGAGUGCGCCGAUGAAGCCAAAUAGGUAUUUGCUUUUCAUUAUAUUCUUAUGGCAAUUUUGUACAUCGUAAAUAUGCCAAUAAAAGUGGGUGGUCCUUUUUGUGACGCGCAUUUUAUUUACCUGCCGUUCAUAGUCUUUUUAUAUUUACUGAUAAGAGUGGCCAUUCGCCAGCCACUCGCUAAAAUGGAACAUAAACGCCCACCUAUACAAGCAAUCACAGAUGACAUUCAUAUAUUUUUUUAUGCUUUUUAGGAUCGUUUGCUUCCCCCGUGUUAUGAUUCAAGUGACCUUUUCGUUUCGAGUGUCGAAUUUGUACUAAUCCCCCAGGUAUAGUACGCUGUUCGAGUUAAAUUAGUUGAGCACUCCGUUGAAGAUGCACUCUCGAGAUUACAAAGCGUGCUAUAAUUAACGUUAAAUGUUUCAGCUGCCGCUAAAUUUGUUUAAAUGUCAAUCGUUCCUGACAUUACUCCUCCUAAAACCAUAUUUGGUUCUAAAACCAAAAACGAUAUAAACAAAUGGAUGUUCCCUGAUUCAUUGUGAGUUUUCAUUUCAAUUUCACGUUAAAGUCGUCUCCAAGUCAUUCAAAGUCUUUUUACUUGCCGAAAUGAGAACGAGUUUGAAUCCUAAACGUAGGUGAUUAAUAUAAAAUAAAUACAAGUUACAUUUUAAAAUGUUGAACAGAUCUCUGCCCAAAUUCUAUUUCAUUAAUUGUGUUUAUAAGAGUAUGAAUUCGCAUAAAAAUAUUUAUUCUUCCUCUAUUACAAUAUUCUAUUUGACACAUUUUUCAUCGCUUUAUCCCAACACAUUCUAUUUUAAACCAUUCAACCAAUGAUUGAAAUCCAAAGUAAAAUUCGCAUCCAGCUCAAAGCUUCUUCCACCAAAUCGAUUCCCGCCUCGAUUAUUCGAAAAUCAUCCGAAACUUCGAUGUUUUUCGAGCCGGAUUCAGGUCAAGAGAAGCAUUUCCCCGAAGCAUGUUCGCGUGACGAUAAAGCAAACGAAAAAUUCGCUCGGCCAAUCGAGUUCAGAAUGAAAGGCGAUGCAACGGAUUCAGAGAAACUUCUGCAAGAUUGCGUGACUUCCUUGCAACGCGUAUGUGUGUCGAUUCAGAGUGAGGUGGUCUGGUCAUGAUUUCGCGGUGGUAACGUUCAUAAAAGAUCUCGACGAAUCGGCCGGAAUCCGAGCUUUCGAAUCUUCGUCUUUUACUAAGUCAUAAUAUCGACAAUGCGCCGGAACGAGCUGGAAUAUCGAUUCUCUAUCCUGAAUGGAUCAUUUCUCCCGAGGGAAGAUGGUGCAAUUUGCGUCACGAGACCCGGGGCACGUUUAUUUUGCGUGUUCCCGCUAGAGCAGCUUUAUGGUCGCGUAUCACUUAGUUUAGAGACGAGCUGACGGAAGAGAAUCGUCUCGAUAGUCUUGGCAUAGGCGUAAGCGGGUUGAGAAGCCACGUCGGCUCUGAACGGGGGAUGAACUAAUAAAAGUCGACAAGAAGAAUUUCACCUGGAAUGAGAACGUUAUGUUAAACGUUUUCAUUUAUCUCUGGCUGGCUACCGAGUAAGGCAGAAGGUGGAAGAAUUUUUCUUCCUAUUUUUUUGCAGGUUACUUUAUGGAGGAGCAGUUGGUGCUGGUUGUAUCCUUCGCUAUGGCGCUCGAAGUAAUUACUUCGAGUACUCUGUAACGAAUAACAGUGAUAACUAUUUGAAAUUUAUUUGUUUCGAAUAACGAACAAUAGCAUAGGGCAAAGGAAUGAAAUUGGCCAUAUGCCAGUAAUACGUGGGUCUGUUCCAAAUUAGUCAUAAUCUGCUAUCAUUGCUCUAAAAAUUUAGAGUUAUAAACUUUUUUGGCUCACCAAGAGACGAACGAUGAAAUAAUGAAGAAGUUGUACGAAUGUGAUAUUAUUAGAAGGUAAUUUAUCUGUUAUUUUAUUAAGACACAAAAAGUCUACUAAAAUAGCAAACAUUUUACAAAAUUCCGUCAAAAAAAUUGUAAACGCGACCAAAAUUGUUGUAAUUUAAACAUCAUAGAAAUAUCAUAGUGAUCUUUAAGAAGAGCUUAAAUUAUUAUUCUUAAACGGUAAUUAAAAGCAAGCAGAUCUGGGAGAGAGAACAUAAAGCAGUUGAUAAUCAAACAUAUUUUCUCUGCAUAUCUUUCUAAUGCAAUAGUAAAGAUGAACAAAGGUAUUUCACGAUUAUUAAGCUUUACAAUUACUCAAUAUUCAUAGAAACUAUAUCUUUUUAGUUUAUUCUUAAAUCUACCCUUUUAUAUUGUACGUUACUGUGAACACAAUAAAAUCUUCGCAAGAUUAUCUAUUUAUGUGAUCUUUAAAUACUGUCAGCUACGCAUCAAUCUCCUUUGCAAUCAAAUUCAUAACAGUUCCAUUAGCAUUUUCAUAUAGAAUGAUAGACGACUGUCAACGCUGAAGACCUCAAUGAGUAUUGAAAGAAAUCACGCGAUACGCGACAGAAACGAACGCAAGCAGCAUACGAACAAGAACGUGGAGGUAAACCGUGAACUAAGUCCGAACGUUACGUGUGCAACGAAACGUAAGUAGACUACAAUAGAUUGCCAGAUUGGUCUAGAAACUCCGUAAUGCUGAAAACGCAGGCACCGUGAGCGUGUGUGAAAGAAGCUGGCGGAAGACGUGAACGAGGGCGAAAGGAAAGGUGGCUGAAAAGCGAAUGAAAAGUAUAAAAUGCGACAAAGGAGGCAAUGUUGGAGCAGCUCAUCAGCGUUCGCCCAGAGAACGAAAUUUUUUUGUCUUUGUCGAGAUGCUGCUUAUUUAAAGUCAGCGCUCCUUUACAAUUGCAGCGUAAAAAAAGAACUGAAAUUUUGCUCGUUCCCAGGCGUAUCUUUAACGUAUAAGCAUUGUAAUACGUGUUUUUGUUUUAACGACUCUUAGUUCUUGUAGUAGGUGCUUUGCCUUUUCUUUCGUUCCCAUAUUGAAAUAUCGUGCUCGAGAGAUUUCGAGGUCAGAAGUUGAUGUUUCAGUGAAAAAUGUUCUAACCUUGCUAUGGCAGUGGUAAUUAUUAGGCAAUUUUUUAAAUGAAUCACGAGAUGUUAAAUUAUAAUUGUGAACAUUGAAUAUCGUAUCUUAGUUAUAAUGCAUAUAGUUUUAACUUAAAUUCGACUUUAUAGAAACAUUUGAAAUAGCCAUUAUCGAAACAAUUGUUUCGUCGUACGUACUUUUUCUGGUUAAAAUGUGGAUUAAUGGAAGCAUUUAGCGACUUAAUCUUGAAAAUGAGACAUACGAGUUUAAUGUAAAUUAGUACGUACGUAUCUACGAAUCUGCAUCUACAGAUCAGACGAAAGGUAAUUAGAGCAUAUUUCUUGCCCUUGCAUCGUCUCACUAGAAAACUUUCUAACGAUGUACAGUAUCAAACACCUAAUCACUCAUGUCCUCAAAUUUUGUAAUCAUUCAUCCAUUCACCCUUAACGAUCUUACCAAACUAAACAAUCUAUACCUUCUAAUUCAUUCAAUGUUUCCAAUGUGCACCUACUAUGAAACUCGCAUAUCAAUAGCUACAUUCAAAUCUGUCGAUCAUUCAUUCAUUCAUCUAUUCGUGUUUAUCAGACAAGACUCAAAAAUCCAACUUACUCGACACUCCAAUAACUACAACACUUACAUGUCAAUAGCUGAAUGCACGUCUGUAAUCAAAUAUGUUUAUACACCAGAGAAUUCUUAUAUUCUAACAACAUAGCAAAUCAUCUUAUAACAUUUACAUAUAAAUAACAAUAUCCAACGUGCUUUACUCGCCAGCUUACGAAUUGAAAGAGGGGAUAACCAGGCAAAAGGCCAAUAUCGUCGUUCUUAUUACCUUAAAGAAACUCGUAGGCUGCUCUUCGAGAGGAGGAGCGACACGCUGCCGUAGUUUCGCAUUUACGAUUAUUAUAAUGGCGACCGGUGGGCUCCAUUACCAGGAUAGCCAGGCGCGUUCCUGGUUUCCACCAUUAGGCCCCUUCUUCUUCUUCCUCUGCGUUUUCUCGCCCAGUCCGCGUCCGCUUUCUUUUCUUUAGAAACGAUCUCUAUAAUAAACCGGCCACGCUAAAACGCCGCUAUAAGCGGCCCUCCUAAUAUCGCGGUGACUUUGCCAGAUGGUAUUAAUAACGUGCCUUUAGUAUUCAUGGCUUUAGCUCCCCCUUUUCAGCCGCUGGAUAAUCGUUGAACCCCUCCAGAAUGCUCCUUUCCAGGCGGACUUUGUCUUCGGUCCCCCCAUCAAGACGUUUUCUUUCCACAAGACAAUGAUCUGGAUUUGUUCCUCGUGGAUGAUUCGCGGACCCCUGGUUUUGAUUUUAGUGGUUCGCUGUAAGGGUUGUACGAUAAGGAUUUUUGGGGUGGAUGGCGAUUAAGACUUUAUUACAGAGAUAAUUUUUGAAGAAAGCUGCGUGGAUUAGGGUGAACGAUGCACGAGCGUUUUUCGAUUGUUAGACGUAAUUAGGGUCGUUGAACAAUGGAUCUUUGACUAUAUCUGUUUGUAUGAAUUGUGACUUAGAACGUAUUUGAAGAAUUUUUAAUUUGAGUAGAAAGUUUCUAUUUCUUUAGGAACAUUCCACUGAAACGUGGUAGAAGUGGAACGCUUGAUUAAUAUAAUUUUUCAGGUUUGAGUAACUCUAAUACUAAGAACAUGUUUUGUACAAAAGUAAUCGAUGAAAUGAUAUUAAACGAUGAAUUAUCCGUAAAAUUCCUACAAAAUUUAACAGUUUGAAGUGUCUAUGAAGAUUAUAGGGGAUAUUAAGCUUCAAUAGCAGUAUUGAUAUGAAAUUGUUAAAUGUUAUUGGUCACUGUAAUAAAUUGUCCAAUAUAUGUGUAUAUUAAAUAUUCUAAUAUUGUGCCUUAUAACGAGAUGAAAUAUUUUGCUAAUUGUUAUUUUAUAUCGUACGUAUUGAGAUUGCACGUGACAACUGUAACGACGUUAGAUGUGAAACAAUAAUGCCAACCAUACUAUCAAAUUUGCAAAAUAUUAAACGAUGUAAUAUUACUGGCUUAAUUACGUUGCCUCCAAUAAUAUUUAAUCUUGAUCAAUAAUAUUGCAUAAUAUUGUGCAAUUAUACGUAUUGCUCGGCAAUGAAUAUUUUUUCGUCGUUUCAUUUAAAAUGAAAAUUGAUAAUAAUGCAAUAUGCAUUAAAUAAAUUAUGCAUUAAUAAAAUUAACAAACAUGACGUUUUUCUAAUUUCUUUGAAUUUUGUUAUUGAUAAACCUGAAAUGAAAUUUAAAUA
Molecule: long non-coding RNA, 21416 nt
Organism: Bombus huntii
Lineage: Eukaryota; Metazoa; Arthropoda; Insecta; Hymenoptera; Apidae
Exons: 3
Source: RefSeq, a predicted model, not a curated record